This 213-nucleotide long non-coding RNA is filed under the name Lathyrus oleraceus (garden pea). Its description in RNAcentral is "Pisum sativum (pea) long non-coding RNA (PSAT_LNC032254)". The record is from RNAcentral. Lineage: Eukaryota; Viridiplantae; Streptophyta; Magnoliopsida; Fabales; Fabaceae.
UGGUCUUGUGAUAUCUAAUCUUGGUAAAUAGGAUAGAUAUCCUUGACAACGUUUAGUGGCCUGAGUCAGCAUAUAGUUCAGGGAUGCAUUAGAAUAAGCAGUUAUAGAGUAGAGGUAAAUAUGAGAUAAAGAUACGCUUGUUUGAAUAAUUGUGGUUGUCAUAUAUAUUACUAUUUUACAUCCUAUUCCCACUUUUAAAUUUGUACGUAAAUC